RNAcentral lists this ribosomal RNA (408 nucleotides) under uncultured bacterium. RNAcentral's name for it is "partial 16S ribosomal RNA". It matches the Rfam family "Bacterial small subunit ribosomal RNA", at positions 28 to 526 of the family's 1533-position model. The record is from RNAcentral.
GACGAACGCUGGCGGCGUGCUUAACACAUGCAAGUCGAACGAAGUGUCGCACGGGGGAGUAAUACGUGAGUAACCUGCCCUCCUUUUUGGGAUAAGCCUUGGAAACGGGGUCUAAUACCCAAUAAAGGGGGAUGGGCUCGCGGCCUAUCAGCUGGUUGGGGGGGUGACGGCCGACUAAGGCGGUGCCGGGUAGCCGGCCUGAGAGGGUGACCGGCGACAUGGGGACUGGGCUAACGCCCAGACGGCGCCGGGAGGGGGCAGUGUGGGAUAUUGCACAAUGGCCGAAAGCCUGACGCCGCGAGGGUGCGUGGGGGAUUAAGGUUUUAGGGCUGUAAUCAUCGGGCGGGAUCGACCGGGUAGCUGGAGAAGAAGCGCCGGCUAACUACGUGCCAGCAGCCGCGGUAAUUC